RNAcentral lists this ribosomal RNA (495 nucleotides) under Blastocystis sp. Its description in RNAcentral is "SSU rRNA". It matches the Rfam family "Eukaryotic small subunit ribosomal RNA", at positions 49 to 564 of the family's 1831-position model. The record is from RNAcentral. Lineage: Eukaryota; Bigyra; Opalinata; Blastocystidae.
GCAUGCAUGUGUAAGUGUAAAUAUACUAGUUUGAAACUGCGAAUGGCUCAUUAUAUCAGUUAUAGUUUAUUUGAUGAAGUGUACUACUUGGAUAACCGUAGUAAUUCUAGGGCUAAUACAUGAGAAAGUCCUCUGGUGAGGUGUGUUUAUUAGAAUGAAAACCAUAUGCUUCGGCAUGAUAGAGAGUAAUAGUAACCUAUCGUAUCGCAUGCUUAAUGUAACGAUGAGUCUUUCAAGUUUCUGCCCUAUCAUCUUUCGAUGGUAGUAUAUGGGCCUACCAUGGCAGUAACGGGUAACGAAGAAUUUGGGUUCGAUUUCGAAGAGGGAGCCUGAAAGAUGGCUACCACAUCCGAGGAAGGCAGCAGGCGCGUAUAUUACCCAAUCCUGACACAGGGAGGUAAUGACAAUAAAUCACGAUGCGGGACUAUCAGUCUUGCAAUUGGAUUGAGAACAAUGUACUACUCUUAUCGAUAAUCCAUUGGAGGGCAAGUCUGG